This 440-nucleotide ribosomal RNA is filed under the name uncultured bacterium. RNAcentral's name for it is "partial 16S ribosomal RNA". It matches the Rfam family "Bacterial small subunit ribosomal RNA", at positions 338 to 795 of the family's 1533-position model. The record is from RNAcentral.
CCUACGGGGAGCAGCAGUAGGGAAUAUUGCUCAAUGGGGGAAACCCUGAAGCAGCAACGCCGCGUGGAGGAUGAAGGUUUUCGGAUUGUAAACUCCUUUUGUUAGAGAAGAUAAUGACGGUAUCUAACGAAUAAGCACCGGCUAACUCCGUGCCAGCAGCCGCGUUAAUACGGAGGGUGCAAGCGUUACUCGGAAUCACUGGGCGGAAAGAGCGCGUAGGCGGGAUAGCAAGUCAGAUGUGAAAUCCUAUGGCUUAACCAUAGAACUGCAUUUGAAAAUGGUAUUCUAGAGUAUGGUAGAGGUAGGUGGAAUUCUUGGGGUAGGGGUAAAAUGCGUAGAGAUCAAGAGGAAUACUGAUUGCGAAGGCGACCUGCUAGAACGUAACUGACGCUGAUGCGCGAAAGCGUGGGGAGCAAACAGGAUUAGAUACCCUUGUAGUC